RNAcentral lists this long non-coding RNA (557 nucleotides) under Homo sapiens (human). RNAcentral's name for it is "HSALNT0202822". The record is from RNAcentral. Lineage: Eukaryota; Metazoa; Chordata; Mammalia; Primates; Hominidae.
GGGGGAGGGAAGAAAGCUCAUUACACACACGGGGAAAUAGGGGUCCGAGAGAGAAACUAGCGCCCCUGUGAUCCUUGCUGUCCCCAUCCCCGUUCCCAGAAGCAAAACCUCUAAUUAGAACGGGGGCGGAGAAGAACCCUGCUGCGAAGGAGAGAUCUGUGGGGCAAUAUCGUCUCCAAAACUUAAUUUUGCUGUUCACUUUCUAUCCCCUCCGCCCCCGCCUUCCCCCCUCGUUUCCCCAUCACCACCCUCAUCCAGCUAACAUUCAGAAUCCCAAACCGUAAAACAUCCCUGGAAACACACACCGGAGUGGAGAGGAUUCCGACUCAGAGACUGCGCAAAGCGACACGGAAACCCAGGCAGGCUGAAGCCUCGAAGUAUUCAGCCAAUGGAGAUGGGAUACCUACAGCCAUUUGGCUUUGAUUCCCUCCAUGCCUCUUGGUGCUUCCAUGCAUACUUCCCCUGGGAUGCUCUUCUUUUGGUUUCAAAAGCUGUUGACUACAGAGGGCCCACGAGCUGCAGGCAGAAACUUCACCAUGUUAACGGCAAAAGAAGAA